Molecule: ribosomal RNA, 159 nt
Filed under: Myrmecridium thailandicum
Lineage: Eukaryota; Fungi; Ascomycota; Sordariomycetes; Myrmecridiales; Myrmecridiaceae
Also listed under: 1 other name
Description: 5.8S ribosomal RNA
Rfam family: 5.8S ribosomal RNA
About the family: 5.8S ribosomal RNA (5.8S rRNA) is a component of the large subunit of the eukaryotic ribosome.
Source: RNAcentral
AAACUUUCAACAACGGAUCUCUUGGUUCUGGCAUCGAUGAAGAACGCAGCGAAAUGCGAUAAGUAAUGUGAAUUGCAGAAUUCAGUGAAUCAUCGAAUCUUUGAACGCACAUUGCGCCCGCCAGCACUCUGGCGGGCAUGCCUGUUCGAGCGUCAUUUC